CAACCCCCCCCAAAACAAAACAGAACACUCUUUCUACAGAGCCGACGCGAUGACGCCGCGCGUGAGGAGGGGUUAAUUAUUCAAUUAGGCGAAGCGGGGGCCAGCUGGCCCACGUCUGCACGUGCGCGCGUGGAAAUGGAGGGGUCGAUGCCGUGCGCGGUCUCGUCACGCGUGGUCAGUACUCGGGAAAUGUUGGGUAAAACCCCCACGAUUCAUUUCUGGCUUUUUUUCCGAAGCAGAAUAUCGUCGGGUGGAGUUUCACGAUAAUAAUACUACUAAUAAUAAUAAUAAUAGUAAUGAUAAUGACUCGGCUUGUUGCGAGGCGAUAUCUGAACGCUGCGUGGGUUUCUUUCUUUGGUUUUGUUAAGUUUUUACCCCACCUUGUACACGCCCGCCGCCUCCGCCAGCGGACGCACGGCGUGUCCGUCGUGAUCGCCCGGGGCCCGGCACGCCCGGCAGGUCAGCCGCCGGUCCGUGUGGCAGUAAAACUCCAGCUCCUCGCCGUGCCGGGGGCACCGGUCCGCCCAGCUGCCCGCCGCGAUCCCCGGGCUCGCUUAGGAGCAGCUGCCGGGCGCGGUCCGCCAGGUUCCGCAGCGCCCGGUUGGUCUUCAGCGAGGCCGGGUCCGGCACGGCCGCCCGGCACUCGGGGCACAGCGCGGGAGCAGCCGCGGCCCCCCCGCCUCGCAGGACCGCGGCCACGCAGGCCCGGCAGAUGU
This 716-nucleotide long non-coding RNA is filed under the name Lepisosteus oculatus (spotted gar). RNAcentral describes it as "lncRNA (ENSLOCG00000021030.1)". Lineage: Eukaryota; Metazoa; Chordata; Actinopteri; Semionotiformes; Lepisosteidae. The record is from RNAcentral.